This is a non-coding RNA of Lolium perenne, 2508 nucleotides long. The record is from RefSeq and is a predicted model, not a curated record. NCBI's taxonomy places the organism in Eukaryota, Viridiplantae, Streptophyta, Magnoliopsida, Poales, Poaceae.
CUGGAGCGGUGGAGGCUCACUGGAGGUGGAUGGCCGGAAGGCCGGCAUGCUUAGGAGGCGGGGGUCAGGCGGCGGCGGGGCUGCGGUUCGUUCAGGGAAGGCAGAGAAGAAGGAACGGAUAAAGGAUCCCAACGGCCUCGACUGAGGACGGAGCUCGCGAGGUGGGAGGGGACCUGCUCUAGCGCAUCUCCUGUCUCCUUGAUGGCGGAUGGUUCUUGAUGGCGGAGGAUUUGGCCGGUGGGUGGUCGCUCAGCUUGGAGCCAAGAAGGGUGCACUACGGGGCGAUGGCGGGGCGGCGAGGCCAUGCCCGAGAAAGAUAUGUCCACUGCCGUGCACACUCCAGUCCUGCAGAUUCAGGUAGAUAUGAUAUUUCCACGUAGGAUUUGGAUGUUUAGCAGAUUCUCUAACAGCGAGCAACCACCAUUGUGUUUGUGAACUGCAGGACGAGGAAGAGGGCGGCAUCAGGCAAAAAUCAAGAAGGCAACAUUUGAAAUCCUUUGUGCCCUCCUCUCUGGUGGCUGGUGACUUUCUACCUUCGUCAGGUGUCCGGGAUUCCUAGCAUCCAUGAACAUUGCAGCCCAUAGGGUUUCGAUGUCCAGAAGAUUCUUACACGGUCGCCAUUGGCGUUCAUGGUGCUCAUGGAUGAUGCAACCCUGCUCCUCGCCAUGCCUAGGAGAGGGUGUUGACAAGUUGAGCCCUCAAUUGUUGGAUGUUACUACCAAAAUUGAUCCAUGUAGAGCACCACCUGCAGGAGUUUUCUUAUAUAAUGACCCACAAGUACUUCUUAGGCAGUAUGAUCUAUGAGCUGGAUGGAAAAUCUGAUCUAAAUGAUUAGCAAGACCGUUUGGACUGAAUAAUGUUCCACGUGAGAUAAAUAGCAUAGUGGUGAGGAUGUUAUUUCCACUCAGCGAAAUGGUUCAGCAACUGUGAAAUCUGCUGCUUUGAUGAAACAAAGAGAGGGUACUGUAAUCGUCCCAACUUGUAAGAGAGAAGGCUUGGUUUCUCCGAGUCGCCAUGAUAGAUCAAUUUAUUCCAGCCACUGUGGAUAUUAAUACGAUGCACAUUUUUUUGGCAUAGCAAUCAUUGGUGUCAACCUUUUUCUUGAUAUUAAUAAUUGAUAGUGUAUUUACUCCUAUUGCUAUAUUCUGGACUGUGAUAUCUUUGUGGCAAGAAGAUAAUGGCAAGUUUUUAAAGCACUGGUUAGUGAUAAGAACACAAAUAUUCCAAUUUUCAGUUAACUGACAAACUAUGAUUUCUAUUAUUUGUUGAAGUGAUAUAUGAUUGCUAGCUGAAUAUUCAGUGCUCAUAGAACAUCGUUUCAUCCGUGGAUAUAGUUCAUCAUGUAUAAAUCACUUCAAUUACACAUUUUCUUUUGUCAUUUCAAUGAUUGUCGUACUGCUAUUUUCAGUCUGCUGCAAUCCAUAUGCAUAGUCAGCUGAUUCUCUUCUUUACAUUUGUGUCUGCAAAAUAUGGUGUAAAUCAUCCUAUUGAACUCGUCCUAUAUAAUUAAGACAUGUGAUUUGAUAUUUUUACAGCUAUUUGUUCUGAUAUAUAGAGUCAAGGCUUGCUAAGAACUGCUAUUAUAGCUGAUUCUGAUACAAUAACACAACAAAACUUCUGAGAAAUUUAUAUGUAGUGGCUGAUUCAGUGAUAGUACUAAAUUGUACAUUGUAGUACUUGAUAUACAUGAUGUACACAUGUGCAGACUUUAAUAGACACAUACAUCAUGAGCAGAUAAAGUUCAGGCUACCAUUAAGUAGCAUAUUAGCCUCUUAUGUUCUUUUUGUUUGAUAACCUAGAACAUAAUACUUCUUAAUGUUCUUGAUUCACUUUGCCCAAGAUAUAUGUAGUGCUUCACCAUGAAAAAAAAACCUGGUUUACUUAUUAUGCACAAAGUUGAUUUAUUUGGAUUGAUCCAGAAUAACAAUAUGAAAUUUUGAUGAUUUAUAAUUUCUGAACUGCACUCUAUUCUGCAUUGUAGUUUAUUUGCAGAGAAUGGUUUUGUGAUCUUUGGUAUUAGUUGAAGAGAAUGCUAAAGCAUAUGGAAGAGUGGUACCUAUAAUCAUGGGAUAUUGUGGUUUAAGCUUGCUUGAAUCUUGUUCCAGCCGAAGAGUAACACUUCCGAAAGGCUUUGAUUUUUAUUUUUUUUGGAGAACUGAGUCGGUGAAUAUGAAGGAUUCUGAUCAGUUACUCCAGUACUAUUUCUAUGCAUUUUGUUUCUUACUAAAAAUAAAACCUGCCCAGCUCACUUAUGCACAUGUAUCCCUAUUGUUAUUCUACAUAAUUGAGUUUGUGAAAUAGUUGGUGAUGUUUAGUGUGGUGGCCACUCAGAACUGCUCCAUAUAGUUUACUUUUGGAUUAAAAGGGGGAUCAGGGGUUGUUGAAGAACUUUACCGCUACUAUCUGCUUGAAGUUACAGAGGGAAAUGGACUUCCUUUGAUGACAUUAUGACAAACUAUUGUUUUCCUACUCUAUAAAGCUUUUCGGCAUAGAAAUAGAAGACCGCAU